Long non-coding RNA from Dermacentor silvarum, 3299 nucleotides. RefSeq lists it as uncharacterized. The record is from RefSeq and is a predicted model, not a curated record. Lineage: Eukaryota; Metazoa; Arthropoda; Arachnida; Ixodida; Ixodidae. The transcript has 4 exons.
GACGUCACAGUCAACAUGGCUUCUCGCAUGGCUUCGCCGUUCAUGACCUUCCUCUGUGCGCGUCGGCCGUCAACGCGACAAGCUGUACGGCAGUUGAACUGCAUGGGCCAUGACGGCGUUGAUUAUAUUGAAGGCAACCUCCCGCAGACAUGAUUCCUCCAUUCAAACAAGUUGUUGAAGCUGAAAAAAAGAAGCAGAAAUACGCAGAAAUUUGGGUUGAGGAAGCAUUCAUCCUGGACGUGACUUGCACGUUUGACAACCGACCUGCAACCCAGAACGAAGCCCGCCAGAAGGAGAAGUACGAGCCUGUCCGGUAGUACCUGCUGCGGAAGUUCCAGAAGGUGCCCGUGGAGGCGAUGGUCGUCGGACGCUUAGAUGAUGGGACCUCAAAGACGACGGUGUCAUGCGCCGCUUCUGCAGCCGAAAGUACUUGCGGCUUUUCAAGAAACAAGCAGCCAGCGAGACAAUCGCAGCAUCACGUGUUGUGCACGUGCAGCACGUCGCCGCAAAAUGAUGAAAACUCGCCAGGCAGACACACACUACACUAACACACCCUUCUAUCACCAGCCCGAAAAGAUCUAACAAUACUCAACAAACACUAAACGAACACGCACCUUCAUGUCCGCUCCAAAACUAACAUCAAAAUUUUAUUACUAUAUAGUCUUCAUGUAAAUGACAGUCCUUCUUGGGAAAAUUGUACAAAAAUUGUACCAAACAUUUAAAAAAUGUGCGAAGUUUGCACUAUAGUCGGGUACAACUUUAGACGGCAGCGGCAUUUGCCCCCUCAAAGGCGGAUGCGUACGAGCCUCCACCAAUGGGCGCGCACUAUAGACUUCCGUCAUGAGCCGGACGGCCGGUGUCCCUGCCGAAGGAGAACAUGGCAGCCCGCGCUUCAAGCUGGGGCGAGUCGCUUCAGCGGAACUAUUUCUUUAGUCGCGGAGGCAAUCGGCUGCUGCGUUUCGGUCAUCUAGGUGGCACCUCUCCUGUCAUCUUAAGUUGUACCCGACUAUAGUGGUGCAAGCCUGGGUCACAGUGGAGCUAGUUCCGGCUUUUGGUAAGUGUUGCUAGGUUUUGCUAAGUUUUCGAGGUUAUACAUGGCUCGGCUAGGUUCAUACUAAGCGUUGCUAGGUUUUGCUAAGUAUUGCAUGUUAUGCAUUGCUUGGCUAGGCUAAUACCAAGCGUUGCUAGGUUUUAGGAAGUCUUACGAGGUUAUGCAUGGCUUAUCUAUGCUCAUUCUAAGUGUCGCCAGGAUUUGCUAUGUUUCGCCAAGUUACUGCGUGGUCAUACACGGCCAGGCCGGUAAGCCACACGCCCCAGCAAGUCACACGCAUACUUGCCACAGUACGCCCCAUGGGAGCAGUGUACGUGUGUUCACUAGGCGAGAGAGGCGACACGUCUGUCAGCGCUCCGGUUGCUCAGAGUUUUCUAGCAUAUCAGUGACGUCACGGCUAGGGGAACACUUUGCUUCUCCUCGGCUGGGGAGAGGGAAGGCGAAGCGCACGCAUGCCGCGGCCACCCUAUGCACGUGUGUGAUGCGAGGAGGUGGCGUGACUCGGCGACGCACACCUGGUACGAGUUUUCUGUCGGCACGAAACGGACUUACGAAAAGCCUAACAGCUCCGCUGUAAAAAAAAGAAAAAGAAAAGAAAACUUAUCAGCUUAACAUCUAAUACGGGUCCUAUCUGGACCCAAUAUAUUCAACUUAUUUUCGGAAUGGGGCGGAGUGCUUGAAGCUUGCUUCGCGUCCACCACGGGUUGGCCCGGUAUUGCACUGACUCCGGGAUCGGCCCACUCACUCUUACGGGCGUGAGAAAACCUCAUCAGAUCCAAAUAUUACACGCCUUACAAGGUACCAGUACUCUAAUCUAGCUACAGCUUCCGUUCUUGCGUGCAGGAACCGCCCCGGUAGACGUGGUUCUUGCACGCGCGUGUGGUGAAAGGGCUAUUUGAAGGCGUUUAUUUGAAGGCAAAAUGUAUACAGCACACGCACCAGGCAUGCGCUUGUUAUGAAAGCCCUCUUAAACCGUCACAACGCUAUUAGCCCCGAAAACGACCUACAGGGGCGCUGCGAGCGCCGCUCGCGUGACGUCAGGGCACGGAUUCAUGCCUGUCGUCUGCUGCCGUUCAAGCGCUGUCCGGGCGCCUUCUGCAGUGUUUCCGUUUGUUCGCUGUGGUUCCCUGUGCUUGUAUACUUAUGACGGUCACCUCAAAUACAUUUUUACGACGUCUUCAGUCGCACAAACUUAUCCAAAGAGCUUAUUUUCUAAACGACAAUUUAUUUCUCAAGGGCAACGCUGCAGUGCCAGCCGAAGGAGCUCAGACCAGCCCAUUGCGUGUUUUUCAUGCGCGGAUCUAGACUUUGCAGAUUGAGGGACUAAUAAAAAAGCAUAAAUAUCACGUGACUGAUAAAAGCAUAAACGCAUAAACAUAGCACAUAAGAAUUCAGUUUGGAUACCAUACCUGCAGUGGUGAACGAGCAUGUCACUAUGUCUGCUACAUAUGACUGCUGCAUUUACCUUGAUUUUAACCCAUUAAAAGGUGUUUGCUUAUGACGAGUAGCUCCUGGUAUAAUAUCUAAUUGUUCAUUUCUUCACAGAAAUGCUCGGCAGUAACACGAGGACCUGAUACUGCAGUUUAGAUUCAACCAGUACCACUUGCUUCUUUAACUGCUUCUGAAAAUUAGGCCGUUCUUCAACGGUUAAUUUGAAGUGGCAGUAAUUUGAAGUAAAGCUAAUUGAGGCUUACAGCUAUUUGCAGAAUACGCAAAGGAAUGUACCGAUAUUUAUUCACUGUUCCGUGCUACACGUUCAACUCACUUGUGCAGUUUACUGCUGCUUGUUUCUUAAGGAACAGACAUCACAAAUCUGUUUGGCGAACUGACACAGGCUGCUCGGCCCAUUUUUUUUUUUUUUUUUUUUUUUAGUGAAAUACGCCUUUUGGACCGUAUGGCCGCAGCUAGAAAGAAGCCGAAGCCUCAUUCAUUAUCACUCUGGGGCUUAUUGAAGAUAUCAUUAUUCCCCUGUGGAGAAAAUUUAUCACGGCGGUUCCCGUCCAUCUGUACUUAUCAAACCAGCCCACCAAAUAUCUGCUCGACUAGACCACGAAUAAAAAUUAGAAACUUUCUUUGCCCGAACAAACCUUUAGUCCUCGCUGUUAAUCAUUGGAAUCAACUACCAGAGGAUGUUGUCUGUAUAACAAACGAUGACGAAUUCACUCGCAAAUUAAAACUUCAUCUUGGUGUCUGAAUGACUUUGUAUAGUUGUGUGAGAUUUAUGUGCUAAUAUUGAUUUCAUAAAAAC